AUUGACUAACUUUUAAAGCCCAGUCAUGCCACGUGCCAGCAGACAGUUGAUAAGCAUUUGAGGAGAAUAAUGCUGACUUCACCCAGAGAAGAUGUGCUAAUUGGGAUGCGGGCGGGACCUGGUACUGAUGUGACUCAGCCUGAUUUCACUGCUCCAAUGGCACAGCCGUGAAGAGCUGGUCUCCAGGAAUGGGGACCCAUGUCUGUGACUGCACGUUGCAAGAUGGUUUGGAAAGUUUAGUUCAUAUCUUAAAAUGCCACAAGAUAGGGAAAUGAGAUAUGAUGCUUUUCACUUUUCAGACCUGGCUGUUCUCUAGAGAAAA
Molecule: non-coding RNA, 322 nt
Organism: Ceratotherium simum simum (southern white rhinoceros)
Lineage: Eukaryota; Metazoa; Chordata; Mammalia; Perissodactyla; Rhinocerotidae
Source: RefSeq, a predicted model, not a curated record